GACGAACGCUGGCGGCGUGCUUAACACAUGCAAGUCGAACGGUGAAGGGGCCUGCUUUUGUGGGCCCUGGAUGAGCGGCGAACGGGUGAGUAACACGUGAGUAACCUGCCCCCUUCUUCUGGAUAACCGCAUGAAAGUGUGGCUAAUACGGGAUAUUCUGGGUCUGUCGCAUGAUGGGUCUGGGAAAGAUUGCGCCUUUGGGUGUUUUUGGUGGGGGAUGGGCUCGCGGCCUAUCAGCUUGUUGGUGGGGUGAUGGCCUACCAAGGCGGUGACGGGUAGCCGGCCUGAGAGGGUGGACGGUCACACUGGGACUGAGACACGGCCCAGACUCCUACGGGAGGCAGCAGUGGGGAAUAUUGCACAAUGGGCGCAAGCCUGAUGCAGCGACGCCGCGUGAGGGAUGGAGGCCUUCGGGUUGUAAACCUCUUUCGCCAGUGAAGCAGGCCUGCUCCUUGUGGGUGGGUUGACGGUAGCUGGAUAAGAAGCGCCGGCUAACUACGUG
RNAcentral lists this ribosomal RNA (502 nucleotides) under uncultured bacterium. Its description in RNAcentral is "partial 16S ribosomal RNA". It matches the Rfam family "Bacterial small subunit ribosomal RNA", at positions 28 to 507 of the family's 1533-position model. The record is from RNAcentral.